GGACCCGCACAAGUAGUGGAGCAUGUGGUUUAAUUCGAGGCAACGCGAAGAACCUUACCUGGUCUUGACAUGCCCGUCAUAGUUUUCCGAAAGGAAUUCGUCAGUUCGGCUGGACGGUGCACAGGUGCUGCAUGGCUGUCGUCAGCUCGUGUCGUGAGAUGUUCGGUUAAGUCCGGCAACGAGCGCAACCCUCGUUUCCAGUUGCCAGCGGGUAAUGCCGGGGACUCUGGAAAGACAAACCUCGUGUAGAGGUGGGAAGGUGGGGACGACGUCAAGUCAGUAUGGCCCUUACGACCAGGGCUGCACACGUGCUACAAUGCCCAGCACAAUGGGAUGCAACACCGCGAGGUUGAGCAAAUCCACAAAACUGGGCCCAGUUCGGAUUGGAGUCUGCAACUCGACUCCAUG
This 408-nucleotide ribosomal RNA is filed under the name uncultured bacterium. RNAcentral's name for it is "bacterial SSU rRNA". It matches the Rfam family "Bacterial small subunit ribosomal RNA", at positions 917 to 1322 of the family's 1533-position model. The record is from RNAcentral.